AACGAACGCUGGCGGCAUGCCUAACACAUGCAAGUCGAACGAGACCUUCGGGUCUAGUGGCGCACGGGUGCGUAACGCGUGGGAACCUGCCCUUAGGUUCGGAAUAACUCCCCGAAAGGGGUGCUAAUACCGGAUAAUGUCUUCGGACCAAAGAUUUAUCGCCUUUGGAUGGGCCCGCGUUGGAUUAGCUAGUUGGUAGGGUAAAAGCCUACCAAGGCGACGAUCCAUAGCUGGUCUGAGAGGAUGAUCAGCCACACUGGGACUGAGACACGGCCCAGACUCCUACGGGAGGCAGCAGUGGGGAAUAUUGGACAAUGGGCGAAAGCCUGAUCCAGCAAUGCCGCGUGAGUGAUGAAGGCCUUAGGGUUGUAAAGCUCCUUUACCCGGGAUGAUAUGACAGUACCGGGAGAAUAAGCUCCGGCUAACUCCGUG
RNAcentral lists this ribosomal RNA (432 nucleotides) under uncultured bacterium. RNAcentral describes it as "partial 16S ribosomal RNA". It matches the Rfam family "Bacterial small subunit ribosomal RNA", at positions 29 to 507 of the family's 1533-position model. The record is from RNAcentral.